AUACGGAGGGGGUUAGCGUUGUUCGGAAUUACUGGGCGUAAAGCGUGCGUAGGCGGACUAUUAAGUCAGAGGUGAAAUCCCGGGGCUCAACCCCGGAACUGCCUUUGAUACUGGUAGUCUUGAGGUCGAGAGAGGUGAGUGGAAUUCCUAGUGUAGAGGUGAAAUUCGUAGAUAUUAGGAGGAACACCAGUGGCGAAGGCGGCUCACUGGCUCGAUUCUGACGCUGAGGUACGAAAGUGUGGGGAGCAAACAGGAUUAGAAACCCUUGUAGUCC
RNAcentral lists this ribosomal RNA (274 nucleotides) under uncultured bacterium. Its description in RNAcentral is "partial 16S ribosomal RNA". It matches the Rfam family "Bacterial small subunit ribosomal RNA", at positions 523 to 796 of the family's 1533-position model. The record is from RNAcentral.